CUAAAACWAGGAUUAGAUACCCUGGUAUAUACAAAUUGAGAAGAUUAUUAUAAGUAAAGAAAUUUAAGGAUUUUGGCGGUUAAUUAUUAUUUAGAGGAGCUUGUUUGUAGAAUUUACUCUUUAUAUUUUAUUAAUUUUUGUUUAUUUAUCUCCGUUAUUAGGUAUAAAUUUUAUAAGAAAAUUAAAAUUACUAAGAUUUCAGGUCUAGAUGUAGCUUGGAUUAAGGUUAAUUAGCUACAUUUAUAAUAUAUGUAAAUUUAUAUUUAAUAGUAGUAAAUAAUGAAAUUGAAUUUAAUUGUAAUUUUAUUUAUAAAAAUAAAAUGAAAUUUUAUAGUUAAUGUUCAUAUUGCCCGUCACUUCUUUUGGUAAAUAGAAUAAGUCGUAACAAAGUAAAAUUUAAGGGA
Molecule: ribosomal RNA, 404 nt
Filed under: Metasarcidae sp. 8 MA-2018
Lineage: Eukaryota; Metazoa; Arthropoda; Arachnida; Opiliones; Metasarcidae
Description: partial small subunit ribosomal RNA
Source: RNAcentral